CCUACGGGUGGCUGCAGUGGGGAAUAUUGCACAAUGGGGGAAACCCUGAUGCAGCGACGCCGCGUGAGUGAAGAAGUAUUUCGGUAUGUAAAGCUCUAUCAGCAGGGAAGAAAAUGACGGUACCUGAUUAAGAAGCCCCGGCUAACUACGUGCCAGCAGCCGCGGUAAGACGUAGGGGGCAAGCGUUAUCCGGAUUUACUGGGUGUAAAGGGAGGGUAGACGGCAGCACAAGUCUGGAGUGAAAUGCCGGGGCUUAACCCCGGACCAGCUGUGGAAACUGGGUAGCUAGAGUGCAGGAGAGGUAAGUGGAAUGCGUAGUGUAGCGGUGAAAUGCGUAGAUAUUAGGCAGAACACCAGUGGCGAAGGCGGCUUACUGGAGUGUAACUGACGUUGAGGCACGAAAGCGUGGGGAGCAAACAGGAUUAGAUACCCCAGUAGUC
RNAcentral lists this ribosomal RNA (440 nucleotides) under uncultured bacterium. RNAcentral's name for it is "partial 16S ribosomal RNA". It matches the Rfam family "Bacterial small subunit ribosomal RNA", at positions 338 to 795 of the family's 1533-position model. The record is from RNAcentral.